This is a non-coding RNA of Aspergillus campestris IBT 28561, 84 nucleotides long. NCBI's taxonomy places the organism in Eukaryota, Fungi, Ascomycota, Eurotiomycetes, Eurotiales, Aspergillaceae. The record is from the annotation of a RefSeq genome assembly.
GGGGCUGUGGCGCAGUUGGUAGCGCGUGUGAUUCCAGUCCAGGAACAUCCACAAGGUCGUUGGGUUCGAAUCCCACCAGCCUCA